Molecule: long non-coding RNA, 221 nt
Filed under: Capsella grandiflora
Lineage: Eukaryota; Viridiplantae; Streptophyta; Magnoliopsida; Brassicales; Brassicaceae
Description: long non-coding RNA (CGRA_LNC000819)
Source: RNAcentral
UAUAAAAACAUAACCCUUUAUUAUGUUUAACAUGAAACUCCAUUACAGGAAAGAACAAUAAUCAUUUGACGUAACUCGAAAAGUAAACAAACAAACAAAAACAAAAUAUAUAGGGAUACGAACACUUGGACAGUUAAUCAUAAUUUAUUGUGGGAUUCUUUGUUCAUGGGUUUCUAGGGUCUUCAAUAGAGAGGAUUCUUUAUGAACUAUAUACCUUCUCN